Molecule: long non-coding RNA, 4412 nt
Filed under: Medicago truncatula (barrel medic)
Lineage: Eukaryota; Viridiplantae; Streptophyta; Magnoliopsida; Fabales; Fabaceae
Description: long non-coding RNA (MTRU_LNC004225)
Rfam family: MIR2606 microRNA precursor family (bases 2584-2746)
Source: RNAcentral
UAGGGGUUUUCUUCGAUACAAGCUUGUGUUUUGUCCCACCAUUAGUGAUCCACCUGGUUUAUGUAAUAAUAUUGGAAGAUUUUUUGAUAAUGAGAAUGGACUGCGUUUGAUCAUGAGCGAAAAUUUUAAACCUUUUGAAGUUGUAUUCGUUGAUGUUGAAGAUGCUCCUCGAUCCGGAAGAUCUGUAGUUUGAAUAAAAAAUGUCAACCCUUUGAAGUUGUAUUCGUUGAUGUUGAAGAUGCUUCUCGAUCCGGAAGAUCUGUAGUUUGAAUAAAAUUUUCAAUCAAGUAUUCAAUAACAAGUUAGGCUUACGGUUUUCGAACCUUUGCUUUGUAUUUCGUCAUGAUUUAGUGUGGGGUCUUUUUGGUGGGUCGAUUAUCUAAAUGCUUUUUCGAACUUGUGGUUUAAUUAAUCUUUGUACUUUUCACCCUAUCUGAUAAAGUUUUUGCUGUUAAAAAAAGGAAGUUAGGGCAACCUAAUUCUUAGUCCCAUCAAUAUUUUACCUUGUUUACUCUAUAUAAGACUUCAUACUUCAAACUUUUGAGAGAUCUUAAAGAGAAAGAAUCUUGGAAAAUCGAGAGUGGUAAGUUUAGGGUUGAGGUUCUUUGCACUACAAGAAACUUGACAUAUAGUGACAGCAAAAAAUCGAACAUAAAUAUCAUUCUUACAUAGGUAUAACCUAGAAUACCUAUACCUAUACGGAAGGUCUUUGUACUCAAUAAUCUGUCUAUACCUACGGAUUACAUAGGUAUAACCUAGAAUACCUAUACCUAUAACUCGGCACCCUUCUGAUUUGAUUCUGGAGUAUGGUGGACCGAUCGCUUUUGAUUCGAGAUCGGAAGAUAGUUUUUUUAUUCAAGUUUUUCUUUGGGAUUAUUAUGGUGUUCUUUCGAUGGAUUGGAGGUUGAGAGGUGGUGGAAGCUCAAAGAGUAUUAGAAUAUGCCUUUUUCGAAAGUGGCUCAGUUAUGAUGAUGUGAUUAGAAUGUGUUAUUUAGAGGGAUGUUUUUUGGGGUGAGUAGUGGCGAGGAGUGGUUAUCGAUAUCGUUUUCAGCGGUGGUGCGUGAUGGAGUCUGAUUUAGGUGGAGUUGUUUCUUUUGGUGGUUGUUGUCCUUGGUGGUGUUGAAGGUAGGGUUUGGUUAGGUGGUUUGCGUAUGAGUGUCUUUUAUGGUGUUUAUUUUGGGUGUUCCGCCUAUAUACAACAUCUUUUGUUUGUAGCAUUCGGUCUUUGUUCGUUUUGAGCGGGGAUCUGGUUUGUUAAAUAAAUUUUGAUGUUAAAAAAAUAAAAAACUUUAUAGAUAAAUAUUCCAUAAACAAUAUUAUAAAUCAAGUAAUUGAUUGAUUUUGUUUCAAAUUGUUGGCACUGCUCGUGGAAUGGAAAUUUAGGGGUGUUCGCGGUGCGGUUUGGUUUGGUUUUGAGGGUAAAAGUCACUCGAACCGCAAGAUAAAAAAGCAAGUAGUUUGGUUUGACUCAGUUGACUUAAAAUAAAAUCCAAACCAAAUCAAUAUAGUUUGGGUUGGAUUGGUUGGUGCGGUUUUUUGAGACGACACGUUUUUUUGUUUACAACAUUAAAAUCAAGUUAAAAAUCUAAAACACAACAUAUUUUCAGCAAUGUUUCAAAUUUCAUCAAAUAUUACAAUUUCAUUUUCAUUUUACAAUGUUUCUAACAACAUAGACCAAGUUAAAAACAUGGACAAAACGUAAGUUUAUUUUGUAAGAAAUGCAAAAGAUUAAGAUUUUAUCAUUCAUUAAAAUUUUAAGUAGCACGUUAAUACGUUUUUUAAAUAAAAAUCAAAGAAGGAAUCUAAUAAAAGAAAAAAUAUGUGAUUCAAUAAAAGUUUUCUUUGAAUUUCUAUGAGUAUUGUGUAGGCGAGAUAUGUUUAAUUAACAUUUUUUUUAUGUUGCGGUUUGGUUUGGUUUGGUUUGGUUCGGUUGGUAAAAUGAAAACCGCAAAUUAAACCAAACCAAACUAUGCGGUUGAGCAAGAAAAUGAUCCGAUUACAUCUGAAUCAAAUACGAGUUUUCUAUUGUGUUGGUUCGGUUUUGAACACCCCUAAAUGGAAUGCCAGCUAGCAAUGUUGAUGACAGUGUUCGAAUAUGUCAAAGCACAGCAGUAAAAUGCUUAGAAAGAUUUGCUAUAGAUGUGUACCAUAUAUUUGAGGCAAAGUAUCUAGGAAUGCCAACAAAUGAAUACAUUGAACGUGUUCUACAAAUGGGGGAGGCACAACUCAGGGCUUUUUAGGUAUCUUAGGUUCCAUUAAUUUUAUGCACCGGGUAUGAAAAAAUUGUCCAGUAGUGUGGAAAUUAAAGCCAAAGUUAGUCAUGUGAAGCAAGCUGAUUUUGCAAGAAAUGAUUUUCCAAUUAACUAGCUUAUUUAAGAAGCCAUAUUAACAAUAGUCCAAUUAUAUGGUACUUCAAAAACAAAGUUAUAAAAAUAAAGGUUACGUAUAAAAUAAAGGUUACGUUCCUCGUGGAAAUAUAUAAAUAAUUUAGCAUAUGCUUAGAAAGAGCAAAGUCAGCUUUGUCAUGAUAAAAAAUAGUCGAAUAUAUUUUGGCCACGAGGAGCUGGUGAAUUUAUUUUGGAGAAAACUUAGUUACAAUUCCUUAGGUGUUUUUCGUAUGGUUCUUAACUAAAAAUACAUAUUUUUUGGAUAUAACAAACUUCGAGAAAAUUAUGGAUUUGAAGAAAUCAUGGUAUUUUUAGUUAAGAACCAUACGAAAAGCACCUAAGAAAUUGUACUAAGUUUUUUCCAUUUAUUUUUUAUAAACUUCUCCAUAAUUUUCUAUUUCCGUUGAUUCUUAAGAGGCUAAAAAAAUCAAGAAUAAUAAUUUAAAGUGGUGAGUGGCCAUCAUGUGGGAGGCCGUGAAGUUGCAUAGAAUCUAUAAAUUUGUUUUAUAAUACUUGUUUUAGAUAAACAUGGAUGCUCAUGAUUUCAAAGCAAAUUAAUUAAUACUCCAAAACUAUACUCUUAGACCAUGUCUAUAAAUUAAGGUUUUAUACAUAGAGAGAUUGCAAAACAAAUACACACAAACAUAUAUCAACAUUGAUAUAUCCUUAACAAACCAUGAAACCUACUUUACUCGCCACCCUCCCUUUCCUCCUCUUUGCCCUAACCACCUACUUUCCAUUACCCUUUACUCAAGGUGUUGAACAAGUGAAGGAUAAAAAUGGAAACCCCAUUCUUGUGAGUAAGAAAUACUUUAUUUGGCCAGCUGAUGGAAGUGGUGGUGGACUUAGGCUUAAUGAGACAGAACAAUGUCCACUUGUUGUACAACAAGCUUUUUCUGAGGAUGUUAAAAGCUUGCCACUAAAAUUUAUACCAACAGAAAACAUCAAUGAUUUCAUCUUUACUGGCUAUACAUCACUAGAUAUUGUGUUUGAAAAGAAGACAAAAUGUGCUGAAUCCUCCAAGUGGGUGGUAGUUAAAGGUGGUUUCAUGGAACCAUGGAUAGGUAUUGGUGGUGGUGUUAAUGGUAAGAGUGUUAUAGAUGGUUUGUUUAAGAUUGAGACAAUUAGGAGUUUUCGUGGAUACAAGCUUGUGUUUUGUCCCACCAUCAGUGAUCCAACUGGUCAGUGUAAUAAUAUUGGAAGAUUUUUUGAUAAUGAGAAUGGACUGCGUUUGAUCAUGAGCGAAAAUUUUAAACCUUUUGAAGUUGUAUUCGUUGAUGUUGAAGAUACUGCUGGAUUCGGAAGAUCUGUAGUUUGAAUAAAAAAAUUCAACCCUUUGAAAUUGUAUUCGUUGAUGUUCAAGAUGCUUCUCGAUCCGAAGAUCUGUAGUUUAAAUAAAAUUUCCAAUCAAGUAUUCAAUAACAAGUUAGGCUUACGGUUUUUAAAACCUUUGCUUUGUAUUUCGUCAUGAUUUAGUGUGGGGUCUUUUUGGUGGGUCGAUUAUCUAAAUGCUUUUUCGGACUUGUAGUUUAAUUAAUCUUUGUACUUUUCACCCUAUCUGAUAAAGUUUUUGCAGUUAAAAAAAGGAAGUUAGGGCAACCUAAUUCUUAGUCCCAUCUAAUAAACUUUUGAGAGAUCUUAAAGAGAAAGAAUCUUGGAAAAUCGAGAGUGGUAACUUUAGGGUUGAGGUUCUUUGCACUACAAGAAACUUGACAUAUAGUGACAGCAAAAAAUCAAACAUAAAUGUCAUUCUUACAUAGGUCUUUGUACUCAAUAAUCUGUCUAUACCUACGGAUUAUUUCCUUCACUCUAACCUAUAGUGAUGGACUUUAGAAACAUUUUAGUUUUACCGACGGAUUCUGGCCGUAGGUAAUAGGUAUAUAGUUUAAGCAGAACUUGCAAUAUUUUUACCUACGACUCUUUUCCUUCACUACAAACUUUGCCAUCAACUAAUACACUCACAUCAUAAUCCUGAUGUUUAAUUAAAAAAAAAAACAAAUUCUAAAAUUCAUUUAAUUAAAAAAU